Molecule: non-coding RNA, 2799 nt
Organism: Bactrocera oleae (olive fruit fly)
Lineage: Eukaryota; Metazoa; Arthropoda; Insecta; Diptera; Tephritidae
Source: RefSeq, a predicted model, not a curated record
UCAAUUGUGAGCAAAACAAAAAGUUGGCAAAAGCGGCGUAUAAGAUACUACAAUACCGAGCGAAGAGCCAAACAUUUAUUGAGAGUAUGGUGACUCAAAGCCACCCAAGGAAGAAACUGCCACCCUACUUAUUGUGUUAGUUGUCACGUGUCACAUGAAAGCAAAACGACUGUUUGAUAACGAGGCUAUUGAGGCGACAGUUUGGCUAAAUUCGAUAAUGAGACUGCCGAGCCGACAAUUUGUCUGUGGAUUUAUGCUAAUAGCCUUUGUCAGCUAUCAGCGAAUAUGAAAGACGUACAGUUAACGUUUUGUUGUUUUCAAUGUAUUUGGUAUUAGGAGUUAUACAGCAGCAUAUUAGAAAGAGCCUAUCUAUAGACAAUUUAGUCUUACUUGGUUAAAAAAAAUAUCUAAAACCACAAGUUGAGCUCCAAUAAGAUUUGGAGUCAAGGACCCAAAAUCAAUCAUCUUCGAGAUGAUUAUUUAGUACAAAAUCCUAGUUUUCUAUCGCCAUAUCGCAUCACACGAUCGAAUUUAUACAAAACGUGAUACAGCUAACUGAAACCAUCUAUUGGAAAAAUAAUGCAUAGGUCUAGUAAAAAUCUUAUCGGGGCUAAACUUGAUCAUUUGUCAAACCAAUUGCGAAUCAAUGCUUGCAUGUCAAUGUUCUCAGCUGUUAAUACCAUCGCUCCUCCUUCAUCCAGAGGUUGACAAAGGACUUCAGUAAAAAGUUUCGUAGCAAUUGUUACACAAAUUAUCGUCGAAAAUGGUAAAAACUUUACCGCCAGCACUGUUGAUAGUUAAUUAUCUAGCAAUAUCCCAUCGAUGACAUAGAUACUAAUUGUAAAACUUCAACAAUCAACAACAAAGAAAGAACUGACAUUAAAGUUUCUAGUAUUUUCAAUUUAGACGGUUGUUAUAACAUAAUAAGAAAAAACAGAUUCAAUAAAGAUUAAAGUUAAUGUAAUAGUAAUGUAGUAAUAAUCCAGGUUUUUAUCAGGCAAAAAAUAAAAGCAACAUUUAUGACAAACUGAUGGUUCCUAAAUUUUUGGUUCCACAGGUAUUGGGAUGGAAGAGACGCCGAUAUAAAUGAUUACUAUACUAUCACUUCAUCCAUUUUAACAGAACAUAUGUGGUAUGCAGCUGAAACUAUUAGAAAGGCGAUUAGAACAUAGCAAGUGGCAAUAAAAAAAUUUCGACAUUAGAAAAAAUUCAGUUAAAAACAAGGAGAAAUCGUGGUUAUUUUCCACACAGAAAUUUGUACAGUUUCUUACAAAAUUUGUAUAGUAAAAAUAGAUGAAGUAGAAAUAAACUAGAAAGAUCUAUUUAAAGCUGCGACUCAUAUAUUCCAGUCGCUUUAAUUAGAGAGUGAAGUAUUGUCGUUUUUUUUUUGUACUAAGCGAGUCUCUGUUUUUCUGGCGGAAACUGCUACAACAAAAGCAUAACCAGAAAACUAACACAAUAAUACAAUAAUAUUUCCAAAUGAUCGAACAAUCUGACACCGCUCGCGUAGAAGACAAUCUUCCCAAUGAAACCAUAUAACGAUUUUGUUUAGUUGUGGAUCAAUUGGACUUAGUCAUUUCACAAUAUAUUGCACAGAGUAUAAUAAAUUUGAAAGUAUAACGAACGGAUAACUCCAGAAUCUGCCUGUUUAUGCACUCGUACAUCUAUUCUCCGUGCAAGCGAUAAUUUGUGUAAAAAUUGCUAUGAAAACCAACUCAAGUCCUUUGUCAGUAUGAGAAAGCGGCGAGGGUGACGACAGCUCUAACAAGAAUAAUGACCAAAACUGCUGAACCAGGUUGCCUGUCCUUUCCGUAAUUGAGCUUAAAAAGAAGGAGACGCAUUGAAGCAGUGAGAGACAGAUGAUGAGCCAGAAGUAGUGGAAUUAAUAACACAUAGAGCCAACCGGCUAAAACUUUUCUUUGCGAAGAAAUGCCUUUAGGCAGUCAUGCAAGGAAGUUAUAGGAGAUGGAGUUAUGGGUUUAAUACGUAGACGUCCUACUUCGCAUGUCCCGCAAACGGGAAAACUGGUGCACGUAAUUCCAAACGAGAUGCACCUCUAGUGUAUACAAGUAGGACAAAUCGUGCAUGCCGUCUGCAAUAUGACGAUAUCUUUUGAAGAUUCCACCUGUGACAACAAAAAAAUAUUUACCAUAAAUAUAUCCUGGCCAUCCAUGUGGCCUUCGUCAAUUAAGCUACUCAAAAAGUAAUCUUUGCUGUUAAAUGUACGCAGUAGCGUUGAUUUAUGAAACAUUCUUUUGCAAAAUAAUAACUUUCUGUACACAAAUUUAGCACAAUUGGGGAUUGAGAUCCAAGCGUAACGCUGCUAUGGGGUCUAAUGUAAGUUGGCUUUCGAUUACUCGCUAAUAAGGCAAAGCAAUAUUAUAAUAUUUUCAAAGAAAUUUUCAGCAAUUAGUUUUUAUCGACCUUUUUAUUACUUUCGAGUAUUUUAUUCUGUAUUAAUACCUAUUUUUGUACAUUUUGUCCACAAAGUUUUCAAUAAGCCGCCAUUUUAUAUAUUACAGCUCGUGAAUCACUUCAAUAACUGCAUGUGAUAUUUUCAGGUCGUUGUAGUGAUCAGAAUUGUCCCCCCAGAUCGCGUGAAUUAACACCAUUAUAUUUAUAUUUAUGUGGUUAUUUAAAAUACAUCCAUAUUUAUGCAGAAUAGUCAUUGAAAUUUUCGAUAAACGAAUGCGUAUGUACAUAUAUGUAAAGCCGUGGCGGCUAUUUGGCCGAUGUGUUAUUCCAUAAUAAUAAUUAUCUUAUGAUUCAAUAAAAAAAUUACAAACAAAAGACUAAAAA